GGGGUAUACAAAACUGAUUAUUGAGCUCUGCAAACCAAGCCAACCCAAAUAAAACCAUCCAUUCAUUCAUUUUACAGGGGACUGUUAGUGAACUGAUUACUGAAAAUGAAGUCAAUGGAGCUACAUUUACUGAAGACCCAAAUGAAACUCUAUGGAAACUCUCCAUGGAUCAUUACUUUGUCACACUCAUUAGAACUUGAGAUGAAACCUAUUGAGGUGCCUUAACAUCAUCUCUGAACAU
RNAcentral lists this long non-coding RNA (241 nucleotides) under Coturnix japonica (Japanese quail). RNAcentral's name for it is "lncRNA (ENSCJPG00005013593.1)". Lineage: Eukaryota; Metazoa; Chordata; Aves; Galliformes; Phasianidae. The record is from RNAcentral.